Molecule: long non-coding RNA, 1700 nt
Organism: Lolium rigidum
Lineage: Eukaryota; Viridiplantae; Streptophyta; Magnoliopsida; Poales; Poaceae
Exons: 5
Source: RefSeq, a predicted model, not a curated record
GGGGAUCGUUCCCGAGCAGACGGACACGGGGGAGGAGACGGUGGAUGGCUGCGCAGGGUGAUGCGCUCUUCCUCGACCACUACUACCGUCGGGCGCUCCGCGUGCUCAACAACUCCCGCAUCCUCCGCGAGCUCCGGUUCAGGUUCCUCACCGCCAAGUGCCUCGUGAGCUCUACUCCCCGCCCAGCCACCCCCUUUUCCUCUCCCGCAUUUUGUCGAACGAGUUAAGGGCGUCCCUAUUAAGUCCAAUUUCCCUUACCCAGUUCGCUGGAGGUGUUUGAGUUAGGUUGAGCAUUUUGUUGCACAGUACUCAUGUAGUGGCUACAACUGCUGUUUUUUUUUCCUUUGGCCUGUAUCAAAUGACCUGCUAGUGAGCCAAAUGAUUAACAUGAUGCGCUUGUUAGCAUAAGCACUCAGACAUAUUGGGUUCCUAAAAGAGAAUUGCAUUGUGUGUUGUUUGUGUCAAACUGUCAAUAUAACUGAUAUAUGUGUUUUGGACUCCUUACUUGAUCUGUCUCCCUGCAACUUAGACCAUGAGUUGAAUUAUCUAUCUAGUUGGUUAGUUCAGACCAUUUCAUCAGCUCUAUACUUGAGUGAAUCCCAUCAUACUGCAUUGCUAAUCUAACGUUUCUAUAAAUCUAUAUAAUAGAAAUGAUGGGUUUUGUUUGCCUACAGUUGGGAAUAUAACAUAUGAAGUACUAGGCUAUUAAUUCCUUGACAGGUUUGAAAUUCACCAUGGUAAACCUACGGGAACUGCUAAUGAACGUCAACCAAGAUGUUCUCCAAAUCAGAUUUGUUGAUCAUGAUUUAGUAAUGUUUUUUUGCGAAUCUGGUUUAGUAAUGUUACGGGUGCUUUCCUUUCAGUGUUCGACAUCUCAAGAGUGAGGUACUAAGGGAUUUGUCUUCAAUGCAUCGAUUAAUUAGUGCAAUUGCAACUUGAGGUGAUGUGGUGAUACGACCAAUCAACUGGUACUUGAAGUGAUAAACUAGCCUGAGUUGCUUUUCAAGGCAAUGCUUACUAAGGUUACCAUGUGAAAUUGGCAGGAGUUAUAUGGAGAAAGGGCUCACUAUCGGCUAGAUGUUCUAUUGUAUGCGCUUGCAAGAAGGAUAGCUGUGUAGUGGGUACAGCUUUACGGCCCCUCUUGCAUCAGGAAUCUGGGUAUCCUUAUACAAUGGAUUGAUGGGUUCUGUCAACCUACAGUUGGGCUAUUCAUUCUUUUCACAGUGGGUACAACUUCAGGCAUGUCUUGCAUUACGAAUCUGGUGAUCCUUAUACAAUGAUAGGUUUUAAGUAGUCAAUCCAAUCAUAUGCUAUUCACAUGCUCUCCUUAACUUGCAGAAAGUUCCUAGGCCAUUUCUAGCAGAGGCUAUCAACAUUGGACAAGUUUAUGGAGUAUCAUGCUGCAAAUUGAGAGUAGGUUAUUUAGAAGGGUGGACGGCCUUCCACGCAAUGAGUUCAGUCGCUCUGAACUCAAGAAGAUCACAGCUGACACCGUUCUGUGUGUUAUUACAUAUGCACUCUGUGUGUUAUUAUUACACUCCUACAUUAUGUUUGCUAGUGAUUGUAAAUAAGGAUUGUUGCUCCUGCAAUGUGUCUUUAGGAACUACUACGUUUCUUCCGAGAUGUCUGAUGAUUUUGAGAGAUUAUGUCUUGCAUUGCUGUUCUCUGGAGAUAUUAUCGUGUGGAACUUCAAAUAUUGC